Molecule: transfer RNA, 62 nt
Filed under: Camelus bactrianus (Bactrian camel)
Lineage: Eukaryota; Metazoa; Chordata; Mammalia; Artiodactyla; Camelidae
Also listed under: 2 other names
Rfam family: tRNA
About the family: Transfer RNA (tRNA) molecules are approximately 80 nucleotides in length. Their secondary structure includes four short double-helical elements and three loops (D, anti-codon, and T loops).
Source: Rfam by way of RNAcentral
GGAGCUCAGUGGCAGAGUGUGUGCUUAGCAUGCACAAGGUCCUGGGUUCCAUCCCCAGUCCU